This 1187-nucleotide ribosomal RNA is filed under the name Triticum aestivum (bread wheat). RNAcentral describes it as "partial small subunit ribosomal RNA". The record is from RNAcentral. Lineage: Eukaryota; Viridiplantae; Streptophyta; Magnoliopsida; Poales; Poaceae.
AAAGUGCUAACCGCCAUGGUACAUUGCAAAUGUGGUUACCUAAACCCCGAUAAAAUUGCCAACAGCCAUUAAGCAAUAAAUAAGCAGCAACCACGUACGUGCAUACAUAGGAUGGUGAACUGGAUACAAGUGCUAAGAAAACACUUAGUCGCCCGUCUGGCGACAAACGCCGGCCUCCGGCAGCACGCCGUUGCCGUCGAUGACGCGGGCACUGUCAUAAACCUCUGGCUCCCUGAUAAUGACGAUGCACCGGACAGGAAGCAGAAGCAGCGGAAGAAGCACCAGCCCGUGGUGCUCGUGCACGGCUUCGCCGGCGACGGCAUUAUGACGUGGGUGCUCCAGGUGAGCGCCCUCGCCAAUCGUGGCUACGACGUGUACGUCCCCGACCUGGUGCACUUCGGCGGCUCCACAUCGCCGUUGCCAGACCGCUCCGUGGCCUUCCAGGCACGGUGCCUUGCGGCGGCUCUACGGAAGCUUGGAGUCGGUACGGCCGACGUGGUGGGCUGGAGCUACGGCGGGUUCGUAGCAUUCGAGCUGGCGGCCGUGCAUCCGGACCAGGUCCGCUCCGUCGUCGCCUCCGGCAGCACCGUCAAGUACACUAGCGCCAUGAGGGAUGACUUGCUGAGGAGGCUUGGCUGGGCCCAAUCGCUGACGGAGCUCUUGGUGCCGGAGUCGGUUGGCCAGCUCAGGUUGCUGUUCUCCAACGCCAUGCACAUGAAGCCGUGGUUUCCGGAUCGCCUUCUCAGGGACUUUCUUAAGGUGAUGUAUUUCAACCAAAAGGAGAGAGCUGAGAUGAUAGAAGAUAUAGUCCUCGGGGACACAGAAGCAUUUGCCCCUGUUUUUCAGCAGAGCAUACUCCUGUUGUGGGGUGAAAAUGACAACAUGUGGCCCAUAGAGGAUGCUGAGUGUCUGAAACACAAGCUAGGGGAGAAGGCGAACCUGCGACGCAUAAGCAAAGCAGGGCAUCUUGUACAACUGGAGAGGCCAUGUGUCUUCAACCGCAACCUCAUAGAGUUCCUGGCUCAUGGCAACACACGCUCCUCUUGAGUGCGCCAUGGAUCAUCAUGAUCGUACCUAAAAGAUAUGUCAAACUCAUUGAUCAUCAUAGGGUGCACUUACCAGAUGUCCUGACAUGAUAUAUAUUUGUAUGUAUACCCCAGUCUAUACUCAUGUAUACCUACUAAUAA